GAAUUGUUCAGGCGAACGGCGGUUAUAUUUGUCCGUGGACCCAAUUAAGACUUCGUUGACGGGCAAAUAUGGAACGCUGCAACAAGGACUGGCUGCGCUGGUCUCGCCAACUGAAAAGAAUUCUGGUAUGCUGUAAAUGCCGACUGCACAAUAUGUGACUGGCCCGCGGCCGCUUUGAAGGUAAGAUUGUGUUCUCAUUAAUCUGUUUAUUGUACCAUUUGUUUUCCAGUGACAUUACGAGCCAACAAUGAAAACCUCGAUCCACUCUGUUUCCACAUAUUAUCUAGUUUGUGCGCUGUGGAGCUUGAAGCACUUCUCAGAAUUUCAGCACACUCGCAUUUAUUUCUUUCCCGACAGAAGAACAAUGCAAGUCUCACAUCUCGAUGAGGGUGGCGAUUUACCGUCUCACAUCUCGACGCUAAAACGUCGCAUCUGCGUACGUGUUCAGGGCUAAGAGCACGAGAACUGGCCGAAAGAAGGGAGCCGAUCCAGCAAGAAUGCCGCCCGUCUUAUAUAUAUGUCAGCGCUAUCAUGCAGCGAUCACAUGGACUGUACGGUUGCGUUGCACAAGGGCUGAUGCAAACGCUCCGUGCGAACAAUGUUGCAUGUAAAAUUAGUGCACCUAUACAAUUGCAAAAUAAACAUCUAAAGAGAGAAAACUUAUAUUCACGCGUCUUUCUUUUAUUGUGUGUUACGUAUUAACACGUUAAUUAGUGCAGACCGUUAGAGGCGUUUAAUUCCGUCUUACAUGUGCACUCUGCCCGUAAUUAAUUCAGAUAGAGUUAAACGCCUCUAUAAAUUGCCCGUUCACAUUAAAUACGACACGCACCAACACACCAGAAAAACAACUGAUGCGUUUUGUUAGAACACGCACAAAAAAUAAGAAAAAAAAAGCAGAGCAAUACUAGCGAG
Long non-coding RNA from Rhipicephalus sanguineus (brown dog tick), 912 nucleotides. RefSeq lists it as uncharacterized. Lineage: Eukaryota; Metazoa; Arthropoda; Arachnida; Ixodida; Ixodidae. The transcript has 4 exons. The record is from RefSeq and is a predicted model, not a curated record.